This 151-nucleotide small nuclear RNA is filed under the name Echinops telfairi (small Madagascar hedgehog). RNAcentral describes it as "U2 spliceosomal RNA (ENSETEG00000025321.1)". The stretch from base 1 to 99 matches the Rfam family "U2 spliceosomal RNA". From Rfam's summary of the family: U2 is a small nuclear RNA (snRNA) component of the spliceosome (involved in pre-mRNA splicing). Lineage: Eukaryota; Metazoa; Chordata; Mammalia; Afrosoricida; Tenrecidae. The record is from RNAcentral.
AUCACUUCCCAGCCUUUUGGCUAAGAUCAAGUAUAGUAUCUGUUCUAAUCCGUUUAAUAAAAUGUUUCUUACGUCCCAAAAGUCUGAAAGCCAUCUUACAGUCACUGUCUGUGCAGGGUGGGAGAACGCAUUUGAAAGAGAAAGACCCAAA